RNAcentral lists this transfer RNA (69 nucleotides) under Scincella vandenburghi (Tsushima smooth skink). RNAcentral's name for it is "tRNA-His". It matches the Rfam family "tRNA". From Rfam's summary of the family: Transfer RNA (tRNA) molecules are approximately 80 nucleotides in length. Their secondary structure includes four short double-helical elements and three loops (D, anti-codon, and T loops). The record is from RNAcentral. Lineage: Eukaryota; Metazoa; Chordata; Lepidosauria; Squamata; Scincidae.
GUCAGCAUAGUUUAAUUAAAACAUUAGGUUGUGGACCUAAAAAUAGAAGCUAGAGCCUCCUUGCAGACC